Molecule: ribosomal RNA, 450 nt
Filed under: uncultured bacterium
Lineage: Bacteria
Description: partial 16S ribosomal RNA
Rfam family: Bacterial small subunit ribosomal RNA
Source: RNAcentral
GUGGGGAAUAUUGGGCAAUGGGGGAAACCCUGAUCCAGCAAUGCCGCGUGCAGGAAGAAGGCCUUCGGGUUGUAAACUGCUUUUGUACGGAACGAAACGGUCUGGGUUAAUACCCUGGGCUAAUGACGGUACCGUAAGAAUAAGCACCGGCUAACUACGUGCCAGCAGCCGCGGUAAUACGUAGGGUGCGAGCGUUAAUCGGAAUUACUGGGCGUAAAGCGUGCGCAGGCGGUUUUGUAAGACAGACGGGAAAGCCCCGGGCUUAACCUGGGAAUGGCGCUUGUGACUGCAAAGCUGGAGUGCGGCAGAGGGGGAUGGAAUUCCGCGUGUAGCAGUGAAAUGCGUAGAUAUGCGGAGGAACACCGAUGGCGAAGGCAAUCCCCUGGGCCUGCACUGACGCUCAUGCACGAAAGCGUGGGGAGCAAACAGGAUUAGAAACCCUGGUAGUCC